CAAUAAAAAUGGAACUGGCAAUGAUUUCAACCAAAAUUUUACGCAGUAUGUGAAGCCAGUUUCAUUCUCCAAUGAUGUCGACACCAGCAGGAGCGAAAUAGGUGAAUGCCUGCACAAUAGGAAGAUAUUAGUGGUUCCCAUUUUCGAAAAGCAUUAUGUUACGAAGAACGAAUUGUCUUCGACUACCCCGUAUGCAUCUGUUCCUCAACCAUCAGAAGCUGAAGCAGAAAAUAAAGGGAGAAAAUAUUACUUGAUAUUAACUUACCUUGUGAUGUGACUCUGCCGGACAUGAACCAAGACAUUGUUGCAGAGAAUUCAGCCAUAGAAAAGGAAGCAAAUACAAAGCUACCAAGUUCCCCACAUCAGUUCGACUUGAACUCCUGUGUUGAUGAGGAUGAAACUUCUUUUGUACCC
RNAcentral lists this long non-coding RNA (414 nucleotides) under Gossypium raimondii (Peruvian cotton). RNAcentral's name for it is "long non-coding RNA (GRAI_LNC006679)". Lineage: Eukaryota; Viridiplantae; Streptophyta; Magnoliopsida; Malvales; Malvaceae. The record is from RNAcentral.